UACGUAGGUGGCAAGCGUUAUCCGGAAUUAUUGGGCGUAAAGAGCGCGCAGGUGGUUGAUUAAGUCUGAUGUGAAAGCCCACGGCUUAACCGUGGAGGGUCAUUGGAAACUGGUCGACUUGAGUGCAGAAGAGGGAAGUGGAAUUCCAUGUGUAGCGGUGAAAUGCGUAGAGAUAUGGAGGAACACCAGUGGCGAAGGCGAUUCUCUGGACUGUAACUGACGCUGAGGCUCGAAAGCGUGGGGAGCAAACAGGAUUAGA
This 259-nucleotide ribosomal RNA is filed under the name uncultured prokaryote. RNAcentral's name for it is "partial 16S ribosomal RNA". It matches the Rfam family "Bacterial small subunit ribosomal RNA", at positions 524 to 782 of the family's 1533-position model. The record is from RNAcentral.